This 84-nucleotide transfer RNA is filed under the name Pseudomonas sp. KU43P. RNAcentral's name for it is "tRNA-Leu". Lineage: Bacteria; Pseudomonadati; Pseudomonadota; Gammaproteobacteria; Pseudomonadales; Pseudomonadaceae. The record is from RNAcentral.
GGCGGCCCUGGCUCGGCGCGAUGCCUUGCUCAAGGCAUGGCCAAGCGAUAUUCCCGGCGUCGGUGCGAUGCCGGUGGUUGCUGC